UAGAUUUUAGUCAGUUCCUCUGUACCUCAGA
RNAcentral lists this non-coding RNA (31 nucleotides) under Mus musculus (house mouse). The record is from RNAcentral. Lineage: Eukaryota; Metazoa; Chordata; Mammalia; Rodentia; Muridae.